AACGCACCUUGCGCUCCUUGGCAUUCCGAGGAGCAUGCCUGUUUGAGUGUCAUGUUAACUCUCAGCCCUUCGGGUCGGACUUUGGACGUUGCGGGAGCCGCUUCCGCUCGUCUCAAAUGCAUUAGCGGGGUUUUGGGGACCCAUUGCUGGCGUUUAGUAAUGCUUGCGCCGCGCGGGGUCUUCGUCCGCUCACUAGCCGGACGCCACGGCGUCGAACUUGACUUCUGGCCUCAAAUCAGGUAGGAUUACCCGCCGAACUUAA
This 262-nucleotide unclassified non-coding RNA is filed under the name uncultured fungus. RNAcentral's name for it is "sequence contains ITS2". The stretch from base 1 to 52 matches the Rfam family "5.8S ribosomal RNA", at positions 103 to 154 of the family's 154-position model. The record is from RNAcentral. Lineage: Eukaryota; Fungi.